GGCACCGAGGCCGGAGCCCUGAGGCUACGGAGGGCCGCGACCGUCACCCCGGGAACCACUCCUCCGGGCAGGCAUGGCACUGACCACUCCCUUCCUGUCCAGAGCUGCUCCUGGACGACAGCUGUGCGGAGGACCAGGACGGGGAGCUGGAUGGGCUGUGGACCACCAUCUCCAUCUUCAUCACGCUCUUCCUGCUCAGCGUGUGCUACAGCGCCACUGUCACCCUCUUCAAGGUGAAGUGGAUCUUCUCCUCGGUGGUGGAGCUGAAGCGCACGAUCGCGCCCGACUACAGGAACAUGAUCAGGCAGGGGGCCUAGGGCCAGCCGUCCUGGGAGGGUGUCAGCGCUGCCCCAACCCUGCACGGGAUCCCGGUGCAACAGCCUGCUGCCAGGCCUGCUCUCCCGCCCUCUGACCUCGCCACCCUCUGACCUCACAGCCACCCUGGGCCUGCGCCCUCGCCCUCUGGCCUCGCAGCCCCUGUGAGCUGCAGCCUGCGCCCUGACCCCCCCGUUUGGAGAAUCGCGUGGACGGCAGGUCGUGCCCCAACCUGAGCUGGUGGACGCCCGCUGGCCCCUCCACGGCGGCCGCCAGGCUACCGCUGUGGCCGCGCACGGUCAGCGGGCACGCUCAUCCUGGAGGAGGCGGGCGGCUGGCGAUCCCAGUGUCUGUCUGGCAGGGACCGGCCUCUGUGCGAACCCCGUCCAGGCCAGGCUCCAGGACGCAGGGUUUCCCCAGAGCAGCCACGUGGGCCCAGAUCCUGAGGAAGCUUCCGACGUGUCACUAACGGUCAGUCAGAUCUUCUGCGCCGGAGGAGACCGCGCAGACAAGGGCCUGGGCCUGUGGCUGCUGCAGGAGCCCCGUGGAUGCCGGGGACAGAGUGACAUCCAGCCAGACAGGCCUCCUGCAGAGGGGUCUGGUGACCUGGUCCCCGGGCCAGUGGGACACAGCCUCGGUGGACACAGGUGGAAGGUGCCAGGAGGCCAGGGCGGCAGGCCCAGCCCGCACCCCCCCUGUGGCCGGGGCCUGAGUCCCACCAGGCUCGCGCGGGGGUGGGAGGGAGUGACAAGCCCAUGGCCGGGUGGACCCCCAGGACUGGCUCUCCGCCCUGGCUUUGGGUGGGUGCCAAGUCGGGGCCCCCACAUGGGAAGAGAUGGCCAUGCAGGGGAGGAGAAGCAGAGCCCCCAGCCCCAGGGACAGACGCCCGGGGCUCCCACACAUGGGAAAGCCACUGCUGAAGCUUGGCUAGCUUGUUUUAUUCUUUUUAAAUGUCUGGAGCUCCUUGAUUUCCAUUUGCAUUUCUUUCUUUCUUUUAUUUUCUUAUUUUUUUUUUUUUUCUUUUUUA
Molecule: long non-coding RNA, 1342 nt
Organism: Leopardus geoffroyi (Geoffroy's cat)
Lineage: Eukaryota; Metazoa; Chordata; Mammalia; Carnivora; Felidae
Exons: 2
Source: RefSeq, a predicted model, not a curated record